Molecule: long non-coding RNA, 2610 nt
Filed under: Citrus maxima (pomelo)
Lineage: Eukaryota; Viridiplantae; Streptophyta; Magnoliopsida; Sapindales; Rutaceae
Description: long non-coding RNA (CMAX_LNC002035)
Source: RNAcentral
AAUGACAUGCAAUCAGACAACAAAAUUAUAUAAUUUAUCUAAAUGCUUAUAUGAAUUGUAUGCUGGCCUCUCAUGAACCAGUUGCUUAAUAUAUUAUUAUUUUUUGAACUUAGGCUAUUUUUGUAAAAUUGUCCAGAUCGAAGCUACUCUCCCACGAACUCAACUAUCCACUUUCUGUGUAUUUGUCUCUCUCUCUUCUCUCUCCUCUUCCCCUUCCACCACGUCACCUCCUCAAACCGCGUUUCUGCCGUCACCUCUCUCGCAUUCGCUCAACUACAAAAUUCAAUUGAUGAGAUAUUUUUCAAAAGGAAAAAAAUCAAAAUAAAUGUAAUUCUUAUCGAUCUUCUGGUGACUUUCUACUUUGACAAAUCCACACGCAAUCGUAAUACUAACAACCGCUCUCUCUCUCUCUCUCAACUCACUUUCUCAGAAAUUUCUUGUUUGCUUAAUCUAAUCUUACCCCUUAUUUAACACACACGCGCACUCUCUCUCCCUCCCUCUUAUCUCUCUCGUACAACACCAAACUUAAAGAUUUGAUUUUCCCCUGUUUUUGCUCUCUUUAAAUAACCCUUUUUAUAUAUUUGUAGAGAUUAGGGAUAUACAAAGAAAAGAUACCACAUUCGUCCCGGAUCAUACAUAAAUUUUCUGUUUUCUCGUGAAUUAGUGUCUGAGAUGGAGAACAAUCAGCAGUCGUUUUGGCAAUUCAGUGAUCAACUGAGGGUGCAAGCAUCAAACUUGGCUAAUCUGUCACUCAACGACUCGAUCUGGAGCAACAAUUAUGGGUCGAAGAGGCCGGAUGAAAGGAGGAAUUUCGACAUCAGAGUCGGCGGUCAAGUGAAUGUGAAUCCAUUCACUAAAGGGUCUGAUUUGAACGCCUUCGAUGAUGGUUACAAGAGUAUGAGCAGCAACUACAACGAUAUUGGCCUAGGCCCUAUCGGCCAGAUUAUGGCCCCUGCCUCGGCCUCUCAAAAGAAUGUUGGGAUCAACGGUGGAUUCAACAAAGGGAUUUAUUCAAAGCCAGGUCAUUUUGGUCUUAGCACCAUCAACACCAACAACAACAACAACAUCAACAGUUAUAUGAAUGUUAAUUUGAAGGGGAAUAGGAAUAGGGAAGAGAAUGAUCAUCAUGGACUUGGAAGCAAGAGUGGCAAGAAGAACAGCAACAAGAAGAACAAUAACAAAGAUGGUGACAAUAAUUCCGAUAAUAAGGACACUAAGACUGCUGCUGAUAAGAGGUUCAAGACUCUCCCACCCUCGGAGGCUUUGCCGAGACACGAAACCAUUGGUGGCUAUAUUUUUGUCUGUAACAAUGAUACCAUGGCUGAGAAUCUCAAAAGACAGCUGUUUGGUAUGUAUAUGCUCUCUUUUCCCUUUCCUUUUCUUCUUUUUUUUUUCAAAAAAUGUUUUUGUGUAGGAGCAAAUUAUUUUCUUCCUAGAUCAGAUUAUUAUUUGGACUAAGGAUCAUCAAUUUAUUUAUUAUUAUUAUUUUUUUAGAUGACCUAUAUGGGGUUGAAUUUUUUUUUUUUUUUUUUAACUUUUGAUUUUAAUUGUUGCUUUUAUUUUUCAGGAUUGCCACCACGUUACAGGGAUUCGGUGAGAGCUAUAACCCCUGGCUUGCCCCUUUUCCUUUAUAACUAUUCCACCCACCAGCUGCAUGGAGUUUUUGAGGUUUGUAAUUUCACAGUCAGUUUUUUGUGUCUCGUAAAGUUGUGUUUAUUUAAUUGACAUCCUGACGAUCUUUCUGUGUAGGCUGCUAGCUUUGGAGGCACAAAUAUUGAUCCUACAGCCUGGGAAGACAAGAAAUGCCCUGGCGAAUCACGAUUCCCAGCUCAGGUAAUUUUCAUCUCUGUUUUAUAUUUGUAGUCAUUGAACUUUUUUUUUAUCGUCGUGGAUUGUGAGAUUAAUGAUUUGAGUAUUGAUGAAAACUUCCUCUGUAUUUCCCCUCAGGUCCGGGUUGUUACACGGAAAAUCUGUGAACCGCUUGAAGAGGAUUCCUUCAGGCCAAUUCUCCAUCACUAUGAUGGCCCCAAGUUCCGCCUUGAACUAAAUGUGCCUGAGGUAAUUUGAUAUUAGUGUUAGUUUAGUCUAAACAUUUUGUUCACUGUGACUUCAUAUUUGAUUCUAAUUUGUCUUCUGGUUUGAUUUUUAACAGGCAAUUUCUCUCUUGGACAUAUUUGAAGAACAAGACUCUUGAGCAAUUGCUGCAAUACAACCAUAUGAAACAAAAGCUUACAGAUACAAGUACCAGUUAGUGAAGUUACACAGCAUAAAAGUGGUUUGAUGAUACAAAUAGGGAAAGAAUUUAAGAGUUUGUGGCCUUCAUUAUAUUGAUAGUUUAGAGAGAGUAUGUGAGGGGAAGUAUGAGAGCUGAAUAUGCACAGUGUCCUUGAUGUAAACAUUUUGUGAGGAGGCUGUUGUUGUGUGUUGUCCUUUUUGUUCUUUUGUUUUAGCUUAUACAUAAAUAAGAGCAAAUUAUAAAGACUUUAUCUAAAGUUCUGGUAUAAUACCGGUUUUAUUUGCAUAUGAUGAAUGCAAUGCAAAAGUUCUGGAUGUUUCUCUCUCUGUACCCUGGCAAGGAUAUGCUCUUCAUUCGAAGCCCCAUUCGUUUGU